AACGAACGCUGGCGGCAUGCCUAACACAUGCAAGUCGAACGGGAUCCUGGCUUCGGUCAGGUGAGAGUGGCGGACGGGUGAGUAACGCGUGGGAACCUGCCCAGUGGUGGGGGAUAACUGCGGGAAACUGCAGCUAAUACCGCAUGAGCCCGAGAGGGGAAAGAUUUAUCGCCAUUGGAGGGGCCCGCGUUCGAUUAGGUAGUUGGUGAGGUAACGGCUCACCAAGCCGACGAUCGAUAGCUGGUCUGAGAGGAUGAUCAGCCACACUGGGACUGAGAUACGGCCCAGACUCCUACGGGAGGCAGCAGUGGGGAAUAUUGGACAAUGGGGGGCAACCCUGAUCCAGCAAUGCCGCGUGAGUG
This 362-nucleotide ribosomal RNA is filed under the name uncultured bacterium. Its description in RNAcentral is "bacterial SSU rRNA". It matches the Rfam family "Bacterial small subunit ribosomal RNA", at positions 29 to 407 of the family's 1533-position model. The record is from RNAcentral.